GCUGUGCCCGCGACUUCCCGCGGGCACCCCGAGGCCCCUCGCAAAGUCUCGCCCCAUUCCGAGUCCGGCGGACGAAUUUCGCCCGCGCCCCCCACCAAGGCUAUAGCCCACCCGUUUUUUGGCCAUUUUUCCGCUGGCGGGUUUUGGCACCACGACCUUCGGGCGCUUAUUUUUGGACGCGGCUGUGCCCGCGACUUCCUGGGGGCACCCCGAGGCCCCUCGCAAAGUCUCGCCCCAUUCCGAGUCCGGCGGACGAACUUCGCCCGCGCCCCCCACCAAGGCUAUAGCCCACCCGUUUUUUGGCCAUUUUUCCGCUGGGGGGUUUUGGCACCACGACCUUCGGGCGCUUAUUUUUGGACGCGGCUGUGCCCGCAACUUCCCGCGGGCACCCCGAGUCCCCUCGCAAAGUCUCGCCCCAUUCCGAGUCCGGCGGACGAACUUCGCCCGCGCCCCCCACCAAGGCUAUAGCCCACCCGUUUUUUGGCCAUUUUUCCGCUGGGGGGUUUUCGCACCACGACCUUCGGGCGCGGCUUUGCCCGCGGCUUAUUUUUGGCACCCCGAGGCCCCUCGCAAAGUCCCGCCCCAUUCCGAGUCCGGCGGACGAACUUCGCCCGCGCCCCCCACCAAGGCUAUAGCCCACCCGUUUUUUGGCCAUUUUUCCGCUGGGGGGUUUUCGCACCACGACCUUCGGGCGCUUAUUUUUGGGCGCGGCUUUGCCCGCGGCUUAUUUUUGGCACCCCGAGGCCCCUCGCAAAGUCUCGCCCCAUUCCAAGUCCGGCGGACGAACUUCGCCCGCGCCCCCCACCAAGGCUAUAGCCCACCCGUUUUUUGGCCAUUUUUCCGAUGGGGGGUUU
Molecule: long non-coding RNA, 854 nt
Filed under: Citrus x clementina
Lineage: Eukaryota; Viridiplantae; Streptophyta; Magnoliopsida; Sapindales; Rutaceae
Description: Citrus clementina (C. clementina) long non-coding RNA (CCLE_LNC004913)
Source: RNAcentral